UUGUCUCAAAGAUUAAGCCAUGCAUGUCUCAGUACAAGCCAAAUUAAGGUGAAACCGCGAAAGGCUCAUUAAAUCAGUUAUGGUUCCUUAGAUCGUACCCACAUUUACUUGGAUAACUGUGGUAAUUCUAGAGCUAAUACAUGCAAACAGAGCUCCGACCGGAGACGGAAGGAGCGCUUUUAUUAGAUCAAAACCAAUCGGUGGCGGUUUCCGUCAUCGUACAACUUGGUGACUCUGAAUAACUUUACGCUGAUCGCACGGUCUUGCACCGGCGACGCAUCUUUCAAAUGUCUGCCUUAUCAACUGUCGAUGGUAGGUUCUGCGCCUACCAUGGUUGUAACGGGUAACGGGGAAUCAGGGUUCGAUUCCGGAGAGGGAGCCUGAGAAACGGCUACCACAUCCAAGGAAGGCAGCAGGCGCGCAAAUUACCCACUCCCGGCACGGGGAGGUAGUGACGAAAAAUAACGAUACGGGACUCAUCCGAGGCCCCGUAAUCGGAAUGAGUACACUCUAAACCCUUUAACGAGGAUCAAUUGGAGGGCAAGUCUGGUGCCAGCAGCCGCGGUAAUUCCAGCUCCAAUAGCGUAUAUUAAAGUUGUUGCGGUUAAAAAGCUCGUAGUCGAAUCUGUGUCCCGCGCCGCCGGUUCAUCGUUCGCGGUGUUAACUGGCGUGCCGCGGGACGUCCUGCCGGUGGGCUUAGCUCGCAAGGGCGGCCCAACUCAAUCCUGCCGCGGUGCUCUUCAUUGAGUGUCGAGGUGGGCCGGCACGUUUACUUUGAACAAAUUAGAGUGCUUAAAGCAGGCUAAAACUUUGCCUGAAUACUGUGUGCAUGGAAUAAUGGAAUAGGACCUCGGUUCUAUUUUGUUGGUUUUCGGAACCCCGAGGUAAUGAUUAAUAGGAACGGAUGGGGGCAUUCGUAUUGCGACGUUAGAGGUGAAAUUCUUGGAUCGUCGCAAGACGGACAGAAGCGAAAGCAUUUGCCAAAAACGCUUUCAUUGAUCAAGAACGAAAGUUAGAGGUUCGAAGGCGAUCAGAUACCGCCCUAGUUCUAACCAUAAACGAUGCCAGCUAGCGAUCCGCCGACGUUCCUCCGAUGACUCGGCGGGCAGCUUCCGGGAAACCAAAGCUUUUGGGUUCCGGGGGAAGUAUGGUUGCAAAGCUGAAACUUAAAGGAAUUGACGGAAGGGCACCACCAGGAGUGGAGCCUGCGGCUUAAUU
This 1218-nucleotide ribosomal RNA is filed under the name Nolicima sp. GJK-2014. RNAcentral describes it as "SSU rRNA". It matches the Rfam family "Eukaryotic small subunit ribosomal RNA", at positions 32 to 1195 of the family's 1831-position model. The record is from RNAcentral. Lineage: Eukaryota; Metazoa; Arthropoda; Insecta; Coleoptera; Tenebrionidae.